GAGAACCCUAUCACUUGAAGGAAGUGGGCAUGACCUUUGGAGAGCAUAUCAAGCAUCCAGCAAGGAGCCAAGCUUAUCUUCUCCAGAGCCCAGAGCUGUUGAAUUUGGAAUUGACUGGACUGUGGAGACUUUUGAAAGUUUUUGCCACCAGGAGGUGGGCACCUAAGCCCUGGACUGAAUUUAAGAGAGUUACUGAACAAGAGAGAGCAUGUCUGUAACAGUACUGAGGUAUCCUUAGGUCUUAAAAGACUAGGAAUCUGUGCUGUGGAAAGAGCAGAGUGUACUUUGGGAGAGAGCCAAGGACCAUCUCAGGGUGAGAACCAAGCCUCUGGAAAAGCUGUAAAGGGAGAAGAGGAAAAUUGUAAUAGCCAAUACUUUUAAUUUUAUGUGCUUGAAAGACACUUUCGUUCUUUUAAAUUACUGAAAUUAAAGAAAGAGAUUUCUUUUUUAUCUGAAUUUAGGUAAGCUCAAAAUAGUUGCAACUAACUAAGGUCUAGAAUAUGUUCCAGAAUCUGAGUUGAUUCUGUGGAGUUGGGAGACUUUUCUUGUCCAAGAAAAGAUGAGUCCCACAGAUUUAGCAGAUAUGUCAGGGAGAUCACUGGACUUGGAACAUCCUCCACCCAGACCAUUCUGAGACAAUUAUUUGUAUUUCUUAAACAGCAGUGACUCCCUUUAAUACCUGGGUAACUGAAGGAACAAUUUCAUGUCUGCACUAUGUCCUGUCCUGUGGAAGAGCUGUGGCAUAAGUGAAACAGACAGCAAAGGAUCAGCAGAGCCUGGAGAAUCCUCCUGAGAAGCCGCAGUUCUGACUUCCAGUGUCUCCUGUGCACUAAGGCCAGUCCUUACAAAUUAAAUAUUAAGAAUAUUAACAAUGGGUCUUUAAUUUGUAACAUACUGACAUGCAGCCAAUAUUUUCUCCCAAGAAUUAAAGGUACUGACAGAAAGAAAGAAAUCAUUAGCUAGGAAGAGUAAGAGAGACACACCACAAAAA
Molecule: long non-coding RNA, 991 nt
Organism: Bubalus bubalis (water buffalo)
Lineage: Eukaryota; Metazoa; Chordata; Mammalia; Artiodactyla; Bovidae
Exons: 2
Source: RefSeq, a predicted model, not a curated record